GGGAUCGUAUUUCAACGGAUAGAAUGGUGGCCUCCGAAGCCGCAGAUGUGGGUUCGAUUCCCGCCGAUCCCGCCA
This 75-nucleotide transfer RNA is filed under the name Opitutaceae bacterium. RNAcentral describes it as "tRNA-Arg". It matches the Rfam family "tRNA". Rfam says of the family: Transfer RNA (tRNA) molecules are approximately 80 nucleotides in length. Lineage: Bacteria; Pseudomonadati; Verrucomicrobiota; Opitutia; Opitutales; Opitutaceae. The record is from RNAcentral.